This is a long non-coding RNA of Juglans regia (Persian walnut), 1143 nucleotides long. RefSeq lists it as uncharacterized. The record is from RefSeq and is a predicted model, not a curated record. Lineage: Eukaryota; Viridiplantae; Streptophyta; Magnoliopsida; Fagales; Juglandaceae. The transcript has 2 exons.
UUAAGUUCCAGCUGGCGCUGGGUCCAGUACCACUACAAGAAAUUUUCCUUCUCGCGGGGAGCGAAAUCCCCCAUUUCCCCUGUUUUCUCGCAGCAAAUUUUCAGAAACUGCAAUAAUUACUCUUCACUAAUCGGUCGAAAGUAAAACGUCUGGUCAGUUGAUUUUUGGUGAUAAAUCAUCAGCGGCCACAAUUGCUGAACCUAACUCGGCGGUUCAUCUCUCGCAGCAAAAUCGCCUUGCCAAUUUGGGAGAAGGGCAAUUAAGGUGAUGAGGCGUCGCAAAUUUGGGGCGAUUUACGGCGAUUUUGCAGGUCCGUAAAAUCCAGAUUUCAGAGAAUUUGGGGCUGGCCGCAAAGAAGCUUUCUUCCCAAGGUUGCGGUGAAUUUAUAGACGCCGCAAAUUCAAGGAUUUUACAUACGGUGAAAGAUCGAGAUCCCCGCAUUUUUUUUUAUUCAACAUGCGGUGAAUUUGAUUAUGACGCCGCAAGAAGAUGGUGCUGAUCCAUACGGUGAAAUAGCGAGAUCCCUGCAUUUGGUUUUGAUUCUACAUGCGGUGAAUUAGAUUACCACGCCGCAAUCUCAGAUGGAUUUUACAUACGGUGAGCAUGUAUGGCGCAGGAAAUGCCAAUUAAUAUCUCCGCGCGCUUGCUUACAAAUUUACAGCUGUGUGGGUUAAUGGAUAUGUGGUGAAUAAAUUAUAAGAACCCACUCGGUUUAUUAGAUUGAUGGGUUUUCUGAACGGUGGCUUCAAACAAUAGUUGAUCAAAGCAAAUUUAUGGGUUUUUGGUUCACUGAUGCAGCACGUCGUUGCAGGAAUUUAUGGGUUUUUGGAUUCGAUGGCUUCAAUUUCUGCUUUACGUUAUUUAAAGCUGAUGUUCUUCACCCAGAGAAAGAGAAAGGCAAGGAAAGCAAUCAAAUUACAUGAAGGAUUUGGCCAUACUGGGCGAGCCAUGUAUUACAGCUAGCACCAAGAUCCCACAAAAGUAGAUGAACCGCAAUCCCACCAAAAGUAGAUGAUCAUUUGACAGUUACAUAAUUUUUGUACGUACAGCUAAAUUACUUGUGUCUUCCAUGUAUAAAUCAUCUACUCAUGUAUAUAUGUGUAUGAGAUCAUCAAUGAAAAAUAUACGGAAAUUAUUCUUCAA